RNAcentral lists this ribosomal RNA (730 nucleotides) under Cuphophyllus acutoides var. pallidus. Its description in RNAcentral is "eukaryotic LSU rRNA". The stretch from base 290 to 443 matches the Rfam family "5.8S ribosomal RNA". Lineage: Eukaryota; Fungi; Basidiomycota; Agaricomycetes; Agaricales; Hygrophoraceae. The record is from RNAcentral.
AAGAGGAAGUAAAAGUCGUAACAAGGUUUCCGUAGGUGAACCUGCGGAAGGAUCAUUAAUGCAAAAAAAGAGGAGGGUUUGUUGCUGGCUUUUUUUUGGAGCAUGUGCACACCUUCUCAAAUCUUUCUCAUUUAUCACCUGUGCACUUUUGUAGACCCUGCCUUGGGGGUUUGCUGGCCUUCUUUGUUAGGUUGGCUUCCCUUGCUCUUUUGGUGUCUAUGUAUUUUUCUUAAACAACAGUUUUGAAUGUCAUUAUUCUAAGAGCUUUAUGUUCUUUUGAAAUCUAUACAACUUUCAACAACGGAUCUCUUGGCUCUCGCAUCGAUGAAGAACGCAGCGAAAUGCGAUAAGUAAUGUGAAUUGCAGAAUUCAGUGAAUCAUCGAAUCUUUGAACGCACCUUGCGCUCCUUGGUAUUCCGAGGAGCAUGCCUGUUUGAGUGUCAUUGAAUUCUCAACUGCUCUCAGCUUUCAUGAGCUGGCAGUGGUUUGGAUUGUGGGGGCUCUGCGGGCUUUUUCGAAAGAAAAAGUCGGCUCUCCUUAAAGGCAUUAGCAGAGGGAACCUCUCCUGCUGACUAUCUUUGGUGUGAUAAGAAACUAUUUAUGCCAUGCAGUCAACUGAGGAACUCUGCUUCUUAAAUUGUCCUUUGGACAUGCGUGUCUCUUUGACAUUUUUGGCCUCAAAUCAGGUAGGACUACCCGCUGAACUUAAGCAUAUCAAUAAGCGGAGGAA